RNAcentral lists this unclassified non-coding RNA (319 nucleotides) under uncultured Pezizales. RNAcentral describes it as "sequence contains ITS1". The stretch from base 1 to 105 matches the Rfam family "5.8S ribosomal RNA", at positions 50 to 154 of the family's 154-position model. The record is from RNAcentral. Lineage: Eukaryota; Fungi; Ascomycota; Pezizomycetes; Pezizales.
GAAAUGCGAUACUUGGUGUGAAUUGCAGAAUUCAGUGAAUCAUCGAAUCUUUGAACGCACAUUGCGCCUCCUGGUAUUCCGGGAGGCAUGCCUGUUCGAGCGUCAUUAAAAUCACUCAAGCUUAGGUUUACCUAUUGCUUGGUCUUGGAGAUGGAAGCCGAGUAAUCGGAAUCCUCUUCGAAAUCCAAUGGCGAAGACCCUUGCUCUCCCAAGUGUAGUAAUUACUUAUGUCACUGAAGAAAGCGAGAAAUCUUCCGCCGUAACCCCCAUAUUUUCUAUGAUUGACCUCGGAUCAGGUAGGGAUACCCGCUGAACUUAA